AGAGUUUGAUCCUGGCUCAGGACGAACGCUGGCGGCGUGCCUAACACAUGCAAGUCGAGCGGGACAUGCGACGGAGACAAAGUUUUCGGAUGGAGUCGAAGAUGCAUUGUUCUAGCGGCGACGGGUGAGUAACGCGUGAGCAACCUGUCCCUUACAGGGGGAUAACACAGCGAAAGUUGUCUAAUACCGCAUGAGACCACAGUGAGACAUCUCACAGGGGUCAAAGGAGCAAUCCGGUAAGGGUGGGCUCGCGUCCGAUUAGAUAGUUGGUGAGGUAACGGCCCACCAAGUCGACGAUCGUAGCCGACCUGAGAGGGUGAUCGGCCACAUUGGGACUGAGACACGGCCCAAACUCCUACGGAGGCAGCAGUGGGGAAUAUUGGGCAAUGGGGGAAACCCUGACCCAGCAACGCCGCGUGAGGAAGAAGGUUUUCGGAUCGUAAACCUCUGUCCUUGGUGAAGAGGAAGAGACGGUAGCCAGGAGGAAGCCCCGGCUAACUACGUGCCAGCAGCCGCGGUAAUACGUAGGGGGCGAGCGUUUCCGGAAUGAUUGGGCGUAAAGGGCGCGUAGGCGGCCCGGUAAGUCUGGAGUGAAAAGUCUGCUUUUAAGGUGGGAAUUGCUUUGGAUACUGUCGGGCUUG
RNAcentral lists this ribosomal RNA (641 nucleotides) under uncultured bacterium. RNAcentral describes it as "bacterial SSU rRNA". It matches the Rfam family "Bacterial small subunit ribosomal RNA", at positions 8 to 644 of the family's 1533-position model. The record is from RNAcentral.